UAAGGAGGGAGCUAGCGUUGUUCGGAAUUACUGGGCGUAAAGCGCACGUAGGCGGAUUUUUAAGUCAGGGGUGAAAUCCCGGGGCUCAACCUCGGAACUGCCCUUGAAACUGGGAAGCUAGAAUCUUGGAGAGGCGAGUGGAACUCCGAGUGUAGAAGUGAAAUUCGUAGAUAUUCGGAAGAACACCAGUGGCGAAGGCGACUCGCUGGACAAGUAUUGACGCUGAGGUGCGGAAGCGUGGGGAGCAAACAGG
RNAcentral lists this ribosomal RNA (253 nucleotides) under uncultured bacterium. RNAcentral describes it as "partial 16S ribosomal RNA". It matches the Rfam family "Bacterial small subunit ribosomal RNA", at positions 524 to 776 of the family's 1533-position model. The record is from RNAcentral.